This 1544-nucleotide ribosomal RNA is filed under the name Klebsiella pneumoniae. Its description in RNAcentral is "bacterial SSU rRNA". It matches the Rfam family "Bacterial small subunit ribosomal RNA". The record is from RNAcentral. Lineage: Bacteria; Pseudomonadati; Pseudomonadota; Gammaproteobacteria; Enterobacterales; Enterobacteriaceae.
AAAUUGAAGAGUUUGAUCAUGGCUCAGAUUGAACGCUGGCGGCAGGCCUAACACAUGCAAGUCGAGCGGUAGCACAGAGAGCUUGCUCUCGGGUGACGAGCGGCGGACGGGUGAGUAAUGUCUGGGAAACUGCCUGAUGGAGGGGGAUAACUACUGGAAACGGUAGCUAAUACCGCAUAAUGUCGCAAGACCAAAGUGGGGGACCUUCGGGCCUCAUGCCAUCAGAUGUGCCCAGAUGGGAUUAGCUUGUAGGUGGGGUAACGGCUCACCUAGGCGACGAUCCCUAGCUGGUCUGAGAGGAUGACCAGCCACACUGGAACUGAGACACGGUCCAGACUCCUACGGGAGGCAGCAGUGGGGAAUAUUGCACAAUGGGCGCAAGCCUGAUGCAGCCAUGCCGCGUGUGUGAAGAAGGCCUUCGGGUUGUAAAGCACUUUCAGCGGGGAGGAAGGCGGUGAGGUUAAUAACCUCAUCGAUUGACGUUACCCGCAGAAGAAGCACCGGCUAACUCCGUGCCAGCAGCCGCGGUAAUACGGAGGGUGCAAGCGUUAAUCGGAAUUACUGGGCGUAAAGCGCACGCAGGCGGUCUGUCAAGUCGGAUGUGAAAUCCCCGGGCUCAACCUGGGAACUGCAUUCGAAACUGGCAGGCUAGAGUCUUGUAGAGGGGGGUAGAAUUCCAGGUGUAGCGGUGAAAUGCGUAGAGAUCUGGAGGAAUACCGGUGGCGAAGGCGGCCCCCUGGACAAAGACUGACGCUCAGGUGCGAAAGCGUGGGGAGCAAACAGGAUUAGAUACCCUGGUAGUCCACGCCGUAAACGAUGUCGAUUUGGAGGUUGUGCCCUUGAGGCGUGGCUUCCGGAGCUAACGCGUUAAAUCGACCGCCUGGGGAGUACGGCCGCAAGGUUAAAACUCAAAUGAAUUGACGGGGGCCCGCACAAGCGGUGGAGCAUGUGGUUUAAUUCGAUGCAACGCGAAGAACCUUACCUGGUCUUGACAUCCACAGAACUUAGCAGAGAUGCUUUGGUGCCUUCGGGAACUGUGAGACAGGUGCUGCAUGGCUGUCGUCAGCUCGUGUUGUGAAAUGUUGGGUUAAGUCCCGCAACGAGCGCAACCCUUAUCCUUUGUUGCCAGCGGUCCGGCCGGGAACUCAAAGGAGACUGCCAGUGAUAAACUGGAGGAAGGUGGGGAUGACGUCAAGUCAUCAUGGCCCUUACGACCAGGGCUACACACGUGCUACAAUGGCAUAUACAAAGAGAAGCGACCUCGCGAGAGCAAGCGGACCUCAUAAAGUAUGUCGUAGUCCGAGUCUGCAACUCGACUCCAUGAAGUCGGAAUCGCUAGUAAUCGUAGAUCAGAAUGCUACGGUGAAUACGUUCCCGGGCCUUGUACACACCGCCCGUCACACCAUGGGAGUGGGUUGCAAAAGAAGUAGGUAGCUUAACCUUCGGGAGGGCGCUUACCACUUUGUGAUUCAUGACUGGGGUGAAGUCGUAACAAGGUAACCGUAGGGGAACCUGCGGUUGGAUCACCUCCUUACCUUAAAGAA